UGGGGAAUCUUGCGCAAUGCGCGAAAGCGUGACGCAGCAACGCCGCGUGGGGGAAGAAGGCCUUCGGGUUGUAAACCCCUUUCAGUUGGGACGAAGCUUCGUCGGUUAAUAGCCGGCCGGAGUGACGGUACCUUCAGAAGAAGCCCCGGCUAACUACGUGCCAGCAGCCGCGGUAAUACGUAGGGGGCAAGCGUUGUCCGGAAUCAUUGGGCGUAAAGCGCGUGUAGGCGGUUCGGUAAGUCCGCUGUGAAAGUCCAGGGCUCAACCCUGGGAUGCCGGUGGAUACUGUCGGACUAGAGUACGGAAGAGGCGAGUGGAAUUCCCGGUGUAGCGGUGAAAUGCGCAGAUAUCGGGAGGAACACCAAUUGCGAAGGCAGCUCGCUGGGACGUCACUGACGCUGAGACGCGAAAGCGUGGGGAGCAAACAGGAUUAGAUACCCCCGUAGUCC
Molecule: ribosomal RNA, 449 nt
Filed under: uncultured bacterium
Lineage: Bacteria
Description: bacterial SSU rRNA
Rfam family: Bacterial small subunit ribosomal RNA
Source: RNAcentral